RNAcentral lists this ribosomal RNA (581 nucleotides) under uncultured Ascomycota. Its description in RNAcentral is "eukaryotic LSU rRNA". The stretch from base 228 to 380 matches the Rfam family "5.8S ribosomal RNA". Lineage: Eukaryota; Fungi; Ascomycota. The record is from RNAcentral.
CAUUACUGAGGUAUGCUUGGUGUCGUGUAAAAAGCGCGCCGGUUACCCGCCCAUUUGUCAUAUGCGCUGGACAUACCCUGCCUUCGGGCAGGGCAUGGCCAGGAACAUAAUUUCGGUCGAGGAGUUGUGGCAGGUUCUUGCUCUGCAGGACCGACAUGACCGCGGCCGGCCCAAUUUUAUACUCUUGUGAGAAGAUGAAGUCUGAAGCAAAAUGUAAAUAAAAGCAAAACUUUCAACAACGGAUCUCUUGGCUCUGGCAACGAUGAAGAACGCAGCGAAACGCGAAAGGUAAUGCGAAUUGCAGAAUCAGUGAGUCAUCGAAUCUUUGAACGCACAUUGCGCCUCUCGGUAUUCCGGGAGGCACGCCUGUUCGAGCGCCAUUACACACUCCAAGCGAUGCUUGAUGUUGGACGAUGCGAUGCCCUGGGUAUCGCACGUCUGGAACGCGUGGGCGCCCGCCGCCGGAACGUGAACGUAGCAAGACGUCAGUCACAAUCGUUCAGUAAGUUCUGACGGAGGGCCGCCUCAACUCUUUCUAUAAAUUUGGCCUCGGAUCAGGCGGGGAUACCCGCUGAACUUAA